GCAAUGGUGGCUUAGUGGUAGGAUUCUUGCCUUCCAUGCAAGAAACCCAGGUUUGAUUCCUGGCCAAUGCA
Molecule: transfer RNA, 71 nt
Filed under: Loxodonta africana (African savanna elephant)
Lineage: Eukaryota; Metazoa; Chordata; Mammalia; Proboscidea; Elephantidae
Rfam family: tRNA
About the family: Transfer RNA (tRNA) molecules are approximately 80 nucleotides in length. Their secondary structure includes four short double-helical elements and three loops (D, anti-codon, and T loops). Further hydrogen bonds mediate the characteristic L-shaped molecular structure. tRNAs have two regions of fundamental functional importance: the anti-codon, which is responsible for specific mRNA codon recognition, and the 3' end, to which the tRNAs corresponding amino acid is attached (by aminoacyl-tRNA synthetases). tRNAs cope with the degeneracy of the genetic code in two manners: having more than one tRNA (with a specific anti-codon) for a particular amino acid; and 'wobble' base-pairing, i.e. permitting non-standard base-pairing at the 3rd anti-codon position.
Source: Rfam by way of RNAcentral